CUGCAGCUUGGGAUGGGAUGAGAUCUCUCUUCUUGCCGAAGAACUAGUUCAGUUAUCAGUAAAGGGCUUGAUGGUUCGAUGGUGGUACCAAGUUCUAAACCUACAUUGAUAUGUACAGUUUGGACAGAAAAGCUAUACAACCCAGAUAGCUUUAGGUCUCAUAUGAGAGGUAUAUGGAAGACAAGGAAAAAGUUUUGAGAUUCAGAUAGUGGGACAAAACUUAUUUUUAAUAAUUUUUGAGAUGGAAGAAGAUCUGGAGAUGAUUUUGAAGGGGAGACCAUGGCUCUUUCGUAAAAGUAUAAUUCCAUUUGAUAAAUUAUGUCAAGCUGUGGAAAGAGAUAAGAUCAGGCUUAUUUCAUCCCCGUUUUAGAUAAAAAUUGACUCGUGUUUCCCAGAGUUCGACAAGAAAGAUCUAUUGCAUGCUAUUGGUGCCACGUUCGGUGGGGUUCUUAGAUUUGAAAUUAAUGAAGAAUUUUGUCAGCUCAGAAUUAAUUUGGAUGUCCAGAGACCACUCAGAAGAGGUAUCUUUGUCUCUACUGAUUAUUUUAGUAAAGUAUGGAUUCCUUUUUAAGUAUGAAAAUUUGCCAAUGUUCUGUUUUGGAUGCGGAAGAAUGGGGCAUGGGAUGAGUAAUUGCACUCAGACAUUACCUGCAAGGAAAAAAAAAUUAGUAGAAUCAAAAUUAAUCGGAAAUGAAAUUAUGAAAUUUAAUAGUUUGUUGAAGCAGGUGGGGGCUCAAAGUUUUUAUACUGGAGGGGAAAGAGUGUCGCCGAAUAAUAUAAAAAGUGCUGAGAGAGGGAACAAUAAGGUGGGGGGCUCACACGAAAAUUUGGAACUGAUGGGAGUGGGGGAGAUGCUUAAAGAGCAGGAUUGUUUUUCGGGGUUAGGGGAAGCUGAGAAGUUGAGCGAUUGUAUUAGAAAAAAGGGUCAAAAUCCAUAUCAUGAGAAGAAGGUAAAUUGGACAAGAACACAAGCUGGCGCUACGAUAAUACCAUCAAAAGCCGAAAAUAAUAUGAGGAAGACGAAGUCCCUAGAUGCAGAUCUUAAAAGGUGUUAUAAAGAAAAUGUUGACAGGGAUGGAAUUAAAAGGCUGAAACAAGAAACUUCAGAAGAUUAUGACAAAGGCCAUUCAGAGAUGAUGGCAGACAAUUAUGAGCAACUUGAUGGUCAAGACUUAAAGAGAUCGACGGCUGCCAGCAGGCAAGCAGGCACAAUGAAAAUUAUAAGCUGGAAUGUUGGUGGAUUUGGGAGUCCACGAGCUGGAAGAAGGCUGCGUUACUUCCUAAAGCAGCACAAUCCCCAAAUGGUCUUCCUAAUGGAGACUAAAAUAGAUAAACAAAGGAUGGAAAAAGUUGGACGAAAUUGCAGUUUUAUUAAUGGAAUUGAUAUUGAAGUAGAGGGCUCGAGAGGAGGAUUAUGCUUAGCAUGAAAAGGAGACACUAAAGUUAGUUUACAAAGUUUCUCUAGGAAUCAUAUUGAUGUUUUGAUUAAAGAGGAAUAGGAAUCAUAUUCGUGGGAUCUGUUAAUAAAACUAGGGCAAGAUAAGGAUUACCCAUGGUUGGCAGGUGGUGAUUUUAAUGAGAUCAUGUAUUCUUUUGAGAAAUGUGGGGUUGUCCCAAGGGAUGAGAGCAGAAUGCACGUAUUUUGAAAAGUCCUAGAAGAUUGCUAGGUUUACAUGGGAAAUGGGAAAUCUUUCGGAGACAAAUAUUAGAGAAAGACUCGAUAGGGGUGUGAUAAAUGAUAAAUGAUAAAUGGAGGUUCAUUUUUUCGACAGGUAGCGUUAACAAUCUACCUCACACGAUGUUCAAUCACUGUCCACUUCUAAUUAAUACAAAUGGUGAAAGCAUUCAUAAGGGCAACUCAAAAUUUAAAUUUGAGGCUUGGUGGCUGAUGGAAGAGACGUGUGAGAAAGUAAUCAAAGAAUCUUGGGAGUCAGGAACAGGCAUAGUAGUUGAGAAACUUGGAAAAUUACAAGCAGACUUAAUGGUAUGGACGAGAAUGAUUAAGAAAGUACGAGAAGGACUAAAGAAAAAACUAACAAAGCAACUUGAUAUGUUAAUGGGAAAAGAAAGGAAUGACAACACGAUGGCAGAAAUUAUUGACACUAAGAUCCACCUGAAUAUGAAAAUUGAUAAAGAUGAAGUGUAUUGGGAACAAAGGGCAAGGGCAAAUUGGCUUAGAGUAGGGAUAAGAACUCAAGUCUUUUUUCACAGUUUUGCUACAUGUCGAAGACGUAUAAAUACAAUAUCCAAGUUGGAGAAAGAUUAAGGAGGAGAAGCUAAUUAAGAGAGUGAGAUUAAUGAAGUAGCUACCUCUUAUUUUCAGAAGCUCUUCACGUCAAAAGGAGCCGGGGAUUGUUCUUAUCUCUCAACGGGAAUAAAGGAAAAUAUUUCGAUAGAUAUCAAUAGAGAGCUAAUGAUAACUUUUACAGCAGAAGAAGUGUUUGCGGCAUUGAAGGGAAUGGGACCUACAAAAGCACCAGGACAUGAUGGUUUUCCAGCAAUUUUCUUUCAAAAAUUUUGGCAUAUUGUAGGUAAGGAAACAAAUUUUAAAUAACAGUGCAAGUUUAGGUAAUUUAAAUCACACGGACAUUGCGCUGAUCCCAAAAACCACAAAUCCCAUAAGCAUUGCUAAUUUUAGACCUAUCAGUUUAUGUUCAGUCAUUUAUAAAAUGGUUGCAAAAACAAUUGUAAACCGAAUGCAAGCAGUUAUUAGAAGAUGUAUUAAUGCGGCUCAAAGUGCGUUUGUUCCGGGAAGGCUAAUAACUGACAAUGUGCUGCUAGCUUAUGAGAUCUUGCAUACUUUUCGAUAGAAGUGCAUAGGAAAAAAAUGAUAUAUGACAGUAAAGCUUGAUAUGAGCAAAGCCUAUGACAGGGUUGAGUGGGGAUACUUGAAGGAAGUGAUGUUACAAAUGGGUUUCACAUCCGAUUUGAUGAAGCUGGUUAUGAGUUGUGUUUCCACAACGUCCUAUGCAGUUAAUAUAAAUGGAAGAAGUGGAAGAAUCUUUUCACCGUCUAGAGGCCUACACUAGGGAGACCUGCUAAGCCUUUUUCUAUUUCUGAUAUGUAGUGAGGGAUUAUCAUCUUUGAUGAGAAUGGAUUCAGGAGAGAGAUUAAUAAAAGGUACAAAAGCCAGUAAAAGAGAACCAAAAAUUUCAAACUUACUUUUUGCAGAUGACUGUAUUUUGUUCGGGGAAGCAUCAGAUAGGGGUACCAGGGUACUAAAAGAAAAUUUGAAGGAAUAUGAAAGGUUUUCUGGGCAAUGUGUUAAUUUCAAUAAAUACACCAUAUUUUUAGCACAAAUACGUCCGAAGAAAAGGAAGAAGUUUCGGCAAUAUUAGGGGUAAGGAUCUCAACAAACUUAGAACGAUAUUUAGGGCUUCCAAACGUGGUUGGUCAACGUAAGAAAGAAUCCUUUCAGCAGUUAAAAGAAAAGAUUUCUACUAGGAUUGAUGGGUGGAGUACCAGAAUGUUAUCUCAAGGAGUUAAAGAAGUCUUUAUUAAAUCGGUGCUACAGGCCAUUCCAACCUAUGCAAUGCCGUGCUUCUUAUUACCAAAGACUCUUUGUGGAUAAUUUGAAAAUAUAUUUGCUAAAUUCUGGUGGCAGAAGCGCAUGGAAGAAAAGGUAUUCAUUGGUGUCAGUGGAAGUACUUAUGCCGUCCUAAAGAAGAUGGUGGGUUGGGCUUUAGAAAUAUGGCUCAAUUCAAUAUCUCACUUUUAGCUAAACAGAGGUGGCGAAUUUUGAACAAUCCACUCUUUAGUAGCAGAACUCUUAAAAGCAAAAUAUUUUCCAAAAGUUGAUUUUUUAAAUUCACAGUUGGGGAAUAACGUUUCGUACACAUGGAAAAGUAUUUGGGCUACUAAGGGCAUUUUAGCAGAGGGAUUGUGUUGAAAGGUGGGUAGAGGUACGAAUAUUUCGAGAACCCGUAAUCAUUGGAUUCCAGUUUUACCACGUGGCAGAUUAACAUGUUUGAAUGAUUUUAAAGUUGCGGCGUUAAUUGAUUCAAGUAGUAGAACAUGGAAAAAGGAGUUGAUAGCGUAUACCUUUCCGGAGGAUGUUGCCGAGAUGAUCCUCAGUAUCCCGCUGGCAGAAGGACCACACGAAGAUUUCCAAGUCUGGAGUGCUGAAGCGUUGGGUGAGUACACAGUACGUAGUGCCUAUAAACUAUUACAAAGUACUGAAGAUGAUCCUAGAGCUUAUGCUUGACAAACCGACUAUAAGGACUUUUACAGAAAACUAUGGCUACUAGAUCUUCCUUCAAAGAUAAAAAUUACAGCUUGGAAGAUGUCAUGGAAUUUCCUAGCUACAUGUGUUAAUAUGCUACUUAGAAGGCUAACAAACACAUCAGUAUGUCCCCGAUGUGGCUCAGGAAUAGAAACUAUGGACCAUCUCUUCUGUGAAUGUCCUGUUUCAACAUCAGUAUGGAGAGAGUUAUCAUUUCAUAAGUAUUUGCAAGAUAACCAGUUGGGGUUUCUACAGUGGCUAACCUAGGUUUUUUCACAAAGCUCGGCAUCCCAGUGUCGGAUCUUUUGCAUUGCAUUAUGGGCUAUCUGGGGAGACAGGAAUAAUAGAGUGCAUAAAAAAUGGAGUAAAUCUAGGAAAGAAAUAGGGAGAUUUGUUCAUAGCUACAUAUCAGAGUUAAAUAGGAUUGGUAAAAAUAGACCACUAACUUCCAUACUUGUUAAAAAAUGGAAAAAGCCAUCUGACCAGGUUGUUAAGAUCAAUUUUGACGCAACAUAUGAAGGUAGACAAAAUAAAGCGGCUGUUGGAAUAGUGGCCAAAGACAGAGAGGGUACAGUUCUCCUAUCAUGCUCGGAGGUCUGCCAACGGGUUUCAUCAGCCUUUGCGGCGGAGGCACUUGCAUGUCGAAAAGCACUCCAGAUCGGCGUUUACAUGCAGUAGGAAAAAGUUAUUAUUUAAGGAGAUUCUUUAUCAAUAAUAAGGAAAUUCAAAGCAAAAAGCCCAGACAAAUCAAUGGUUAGAGCGUAUAUUCAUGACAUUCAUCAGCUACUGUUAAAUGUUAAGGAUUUUAGGUUUGAGCAUGUCCCAAGAUUAGCAAAUAGUCUCGCGCAUAUCUUAGCAACUGAAGCGUUGAAGAGUAAUAAAGGAGAUUACCUAGUCGGAAGAGUCCCUGAAGUUGCAGAAAGACAAGCGGAAAAUGAAAGGGUGAGAGAACCAGAUUGAAAUAGGAAAGGGGAGAAAUGGAGGGAGGCGAGUCUGAGAAGGGCAGGUAGCAAAGUGACUAAAGCAAGCCCUUGGGUAAAUUGAAAACGUCUUGAAGAAGUAAAGAAAGAUGAAAAGACAAGACGUUUAUUUUCCUGUGAGGCUGAUUGUGCAGGUAGAACGGCAGCAUUAAUUGCUUCAGACUUUUGUUUCCUUUUUUUGGUUUCUAAACGAUUAGGUUUCCAUUUAAUUUUGUCUUAGCA
RNAcentral lists this long non-coding RNA (5424 nucleotides) under Gossypium barbadense (sea-island cotton). RNAcentral describes it as "long non-coding RNA (GBAR_LNC022204)". Lineage: Eukaryota; Viridiplantae; Streptophyta; Magnoliopsida; Malvales; Malvaceae. The record is from RNAcentral.